RNAcentral lists this ribosomal RNA (466 nucleotides) under uncultured bacterium. RNAcentral describes it as "partial 16S ribosomal RNA". It matches the Rfam family "Bacterial small subunit ribosomal RNA", at positions 28 to 507 of the family's 1533-position model. The record is from RNAcentral.
GAUGAACGCUGGCGGCGUGCUUAACACAUGCAAGUCGAACGGAAAGGCCCAAGCUUGCUUGGGUACUCGAGUGGCGAACGGGUGAGUAACACGUGGGUGAUCUGCCCUGCACUUCGGGAUAAGCCUGGGAAACUGGGUCUAAUACCGGAUAGGACCACAUUUUGGAUGGUGUGGUGGAGAGUGUUUCGGUGUGGGAUGAGCUCGCGGCCUAGCAGCUUGUUGGUGGGGUAAUGGCCUACCAAGGCGUCGACGGGUAGCCGGCCUGAGAGGGUGUACGGCCACAUUGGGACUGAGAUAGGGCCCAGACUCCUACGGGAGGCAGCAGUGGGGAAUAUUGCACAAUGGGCGAAAGCCUGAUGCAGAGACGCCGCGUGGGGGAUGACGGCCCUCGGGUUGUAAACGCCUUUCGCUAGGGACGAAGCGUUAUGUGACGGUACCUGGAGAAGAAGCACCGGCUAACUACGUG